Molecule: ribosomal RNA, 575 nt
Filed under: uncultured Nitrospiraceae bacterium
Lineage: Bacteria; Pseudomonadati; Nitrospirota; Nitrospiria; Nitrospirales; Nitrospiraceae
Description: bacterial SSU rRNA
Rfam family: Bacterial small subunit ribosomal RNA
Source: RNAcentral
ACUCCUACGGGAGGCAGCAGUGAGGAAUAUUGCGCAAUGGGCGAAAGCCUGACGCAGCGACGCCGCGUGGGGGWUGAAGGCCUUCGGGUCGUAAACCCCUUUCGGGAGGGAAGAUGGGACGGGUAACCGUUCGGACGGUACCUCCAGAAGCAGCCACGGCUAACUCUGUGCCAGCAGCCGCGGUAAGACAGAGGUGGCAAGCGUUGUUCGGCUUUACUGGGCGUAAAGGGUGCGUAGGUGGUUAGGUAAGACCUGUGGGAAAGACCUGGGCUUAACCCAGGAAGGUCGCAGGUGACUGCUUGGCUAGAGGGCGGGAGAGGAGAGCGGAAUUCCCGGUGUAGCGGUGAAAUGCGUAGAGAUCGGGAGGAAGGCCGGUGGCGAAGGCGGCUCUCUGGAACGUUCCUGACACUGAGGCACGAAAGCGUGGGGAGCAAACAGGAUUAGAUACCCUGGUAGUCCACGCCCUAAACGAUGGGUACUAAGUGUCGGCGGGUUACCGCCGGUGCCGUACCUAACGGAGUAAGUACCCCGCCUGGGGAGUACGGCCGCAAGGUUGAAACUUAAAUGAAUUGACG